RNAcentral lists this long non-coding RNA (1009 nucleotides) under Strigops habroptila (Kakapo). Its description in RNAcentral is "lncRNA (ENSSHBG00005012020.1)". The record is from RNAcentral. Lineage: Eukaryota; Metazoa; Chordata; Aves; Psittaciformes; Psittacidae.
CUGCGUCCUUGUGUCUCCUAAAAUGCAUGAUGGCAAGCUAUAAGCAUGUUUCCUAGGAAUAUCCAUAUUAUCUCUUUGAGGUAAAGACAUUACUUCACUUAUAUCUGAUGAAUAAUACAAGAGGCCUGGCAUAUCUUCAGAGGUGGGACUCCACAGUGUCUCUGCUUUUUUUAUUUGUCUCGAUUUCUACAUUUUAAGUGUUUUUAAGCAUUUUUUUUAUUUCAUAAGCAUUAAACCUGUUUCAUUUUUAACAUGCAGUUCUAAGAAUAAGUGAAACAGCGUUCUCUUUCCCCUUGUUAGAAAAUUAUUUUACAUGUGCCUUAACUCUGUAUGUUCAGCAGGUCUUCCCCUCCAUCUCAGAAUCUCCUAUCUCUUUCCUAGAUCAAGGUCCUGCCCACCUGAAAAUCCAGAGCAUCCAGCAUCUGGAUCACCACUUUGAAGAGGGCAAAGAAAUGCAUGUGCUAUCCAUGACUGCCAGUGUUCUCACUGGCUCCUUUAGCCCAGGCAGCCUUGCUGCUCCCUACCUUCCAGUGUCUGAGAGUGCUUACCCCACUGAGCCACCAUAAAAAACACCCUCCAGCCACAAACGGCGAGAGAGAAAUGUGCAGCAGCUGCAUAGCCAAGAAAACCCAUGCUGUUUCCUGAUGGUGUGAAGCACUUGCUCCCUUUUCCUUCUGUGGAUGUACAGCACUAACAGAGACUGAGGUGAGUGGCCAGAAAUGACCUACCACGAAAAUUGCACAGCCUAAGCUCUGUUAUUUCACCAUGCCAAUUUAAAAAGUAGGUUGUGAUAGUAAGAGCAUUUAAAUGUAUUUCGGGUUACAUUUUAGCCUCUGCAUUUUUAUUCAUUAUGUGAUGCAGUCUGACUCAUGCUCUUAUGCAAGUCAUUUAAUGCAGAGCUGUAAGGGUCACUGUGUUUUCAUUAAAACGUAACGCUUUCUGUCCCAGAGGGAUUGGCUUGAAUUUGAAGAAUAGGGACGUGCAACUUCAAAUUGGUCUCUCCUUUGUG